AGCAGCCGCCGCGGGAAUACGAAGGGGGCUAGCGUUGUUCGGAAUUACUGGGCGUAAAGCGCACGUAGGCGGAUAUUUAAGUCAGGGGUGAAAUCCCAGAGCUCAACUCUGGAACUGCCUUUGAUACUGGGUAUCUUGAGUAUGGAAGAGGUGAGUGGAAUUCCGAGUGUAGAGGUGAAAUUCGUAGAUAUUCGGAGGAACACCAGUGGCGAAGGCGGCUCACUGGUCCAUUACUGACGCUGAGGUGCGAAAGCGUGGGGAGCAAACAGGAUUAGAUCCCCCGUAGUCCCUGUCUCUUAUACA
This 303-nucleotide ribosomal RNA is filed under the name uncultured bacterium. Its description in RNAcentral is "partial 16S ribosomal RNA". It matches the Rfam family "Bacterial small subunit ribosomal RNA", at positions 507 to 808 of the family's 1533-position model. The record is from RNAcentral.